ACCAAAACCCAAAUCCCAUUUGAAAAUUAAUAAUUUCAAGCUCACAUAUUGGAUUUCUUCAAGACCCAUGGAACUCCAAAUGUCCAAAUUCAGAAUCUCAUCUUGGCUCAAGAAUCUUCAGGGAAAUCCAAAAGCUCUGCAAAUAAGAAAAGUAGGAAUUACAAGCCAAAGCCUAGUGCGGUAGCGCCAAACCGACAAUGCGUUAAUAGCCAUAAUCUCUACAAAAUGCACAUCCACCAUUGCCAGUACUGCAAUUGUCUUCGCCUCUACCUCCACCUCCACAAUUGAGUCUUCAAGAUUGGUGCCAACCUAAUUGUUGCCGCAAUCAAGUCAAUCGUGAUGGGUUUGGCUCCUAAAAAAUUGAGUGUAUGCUAGUUUUGAUUAGGGUGAUUCUA
Molecule: unclassified non-coding RNA, 395 nt
Filed under: Hevea brasiliensis (rubber tree)
Lineage: Eukaryota; Viridiplantae; Streptophyta; Magnoliopsida; Malpighiales; Euphorbiaceae
Source: RNAcentral